This 253-nucleotide ribosomal RNA is filed under the name uncultured bacterium. Its description in RNAcentral is "partial 16S ribosomal RNA". It matches the Rfam family "Bacterial small subunit ribosomal RNA", at positions 524 to 776 of the family's 1533-position model. The record is from RNAcentral.
UACAGAGGGUGCAAGCGUUGUUCGGAAUUAUUGGGCGUAAAGGGAGUGUAGGCGGCUUGUUAAGUCUUCUGUGAAAUCUACGGGCUCAGCCUGUAAAGUGCAGAGGAAACUGGCGAGCUUGAGUGUCGGAGAGGAUAGGGGAAUACCCGGUGUAGAGGUGAAAUUCGUAGAGAUCGGGUGGAACACCAGUGGCGAAGGCGCCUGUCUGGCUGACAACUGACGCUGAGACUCGAAAGCAUGGGGAGCAAACAGG